ACGGUGGAGACCUAGGCACCCAGAGACGAAGAAGGGCGCAGAUACCGGCGAAACGCUCCGGGGAGUUGGCAACAAACUUUGAUCCGGAGAUCCCCGAAUAGGGCAACCUGUACAACUUCCAACAGAAUUCAUAAGUUGGAAAGAGGCAACCCAGUGAAUUGAAACAUCUUAGUAGCUGGAGGAAAAGAAAGCAAACGCGAUUCCCGUAGUAGCGGCGAGCGAACCGGGAACAGCCUAAACCCAUUUCCAUUAGGGAAUGGGGGUAGUGGGAAGACAUUAUAAAAAAUAGAAAAUAAGAGAAAUUUCUAAUCAGCGAAGCUGUUAAAAAUUUCUUCUCUUUAAAAAUUUUCUAAAAACGAAACAGCUGAAUCCUGUACCAUAGAUGGUGAAAGUCCAGUAGUUGAAAUGAAAAAAAACAAAAUGUCUUAUCCCGAGUAGCAUGGGACACGUGGAAUCCCGUGUGAAUCAGCGAGGACCACCUCGUAAGGCUAAAUACUCCUGGGUGACCGAUAGUGAAAUAGUACUGCGAAGGAAAGGUGAAAAGAACCCUCGUAUAGGGAGUGAAAUAGAACAUGAAACCGUAAGCUGACAAGCAGUGGGAGGUUAAGAGCUGACCGCGUGCCUGUUGAAGAAUGAGCCGGCGACUUAGAGGGAGUGGCAAAAAGGUUAAGGAGAAACAUCCGGAGCCAACGCGAAAGCGAGUCCGAAAAUUCGGCGAAGAAUUUGUCAUUUCCUCUGGACCCGAACCCGGGUGAUCUAAUCAUGACCAACAUGAAGCUUGGGUAACACUAAGUGGAGGUGUGCACCGACCGAUGUUGAAAAAUCGGCGGAUGAGUUGUGAUUAUGCGCAGAAAUUGCAAUCGAACUCGGAGCUAGCUGGAUCUCCCCGAAAUGCGUUGAGGCGCAGCGGCAACGACGAGCUAUCAUAAGGUAAAGCUACUGUUUCGAUGCGGGCUGCGAGAGCGGUACCAAAUCGUGGCAAACUCAGAAUGUAUGAUAUUGCCUACCGUUAGCCAGUGAGACCCAAGGUGAUAAGAUCUUCGGUCAAGAGGGAAACAGCCCAGAUCACCAGCUAAGGCCCCUAAAUGGUUUCUAAGUGGAAAAGGAUGUGAGAGUGCAGAAACAACCAGGAGGUUUGCUUAGAAGCAGCAAUUUCCUUGAAAGAGUGCGUAAUAGCUCACUGGUAAAGCGUUCUUGCGCCGAUAAUGGCCGGGACUAAGAAACCUGCCGAAGCUGUGAGAUUCUUAUAUAAGAAUCGGUAGGGGAGCGUUCCGUUAUUGGGUGAAGUUAUGGUGUAAACCAGAAUGGACAAAACGGAAGUGAGAAUGUCGGCUUGAGUAACGAAAACAUUGGUGAGAAUCCAAUGCCCCGAAAACCGUUGGGUUCCUCCACUAGGUUCGUCCAUGGGGGGUUAGUCAGGUCCUAAGGCUAGGCCGAAAGGCGUCGUCGAUGGCAAACAGGUUAAUAUUCCUGUACUGAUUCUAUUGGGAACAAGGGACGAAGAAGGCUAAACUGAGACUACUAAUGGAUUAUAGUGGAAGCGUCAAGGUGUUGAGAGUUAGAAGAAAAACUAAACUUGAGCUGAGGCGUUAUCCCGAUAACAAUCCUUCGGGGUUGUUGUCGUCAGUGAUGUCAUGCUUCCAAGAAAAGCUUGAGCUCCAUAACAAUAGAAUUACCUGUACCUAAAACCGACACAGGUAGGUGAGUAGAGAAUACUAAGGGGCGCGAGAGAACUCUCUCUAAGGAACUCGGCAAACUGGCCCCGUAACUUCGGAAGAAGGGGCGCCUUUAAUUUCAUUAAAGGUCGCAGUAAACAGGCCCAGGCAACUGUUUAUCAAAAACAUAGGUCUCCGCAAAGUCGAAAGACUAUAUAUGGGGGCUGACGCCUGCCCAGUGCCGGAAGGUUAAGGAAGUUGGUUAGAGAGCUUGUCUCUCGAAGCUGACGACCGAAGCCCCGGUGAACGGCGGCCGUAACUAUAACGGUCCUAAGGUUAACGCUAGCUUUAGUAAAAUCAAGCUAUAUGCUGGAACGUACCCGCCUUAAAAUAAACAAAAAGUUUAAGCGAAGCGGUUGGAGAUAACCAGCAGGAAAGACUAGGUAAUAGGGUUUAACCCCAAACAACCUAGUAUCCUCAGAGACUACACGCUUGACACUUUUACAUAAGUGAGUAUUAUUAAUCUUCUAUAUUGUCUAUCUUACAAACUAUAAACAAAUAAAAAAAAAAAAUUAAAAUUAUGAAUAAAAACCUCUAUAAAGUUGAACAAAAACGAGAUACAAAUGGCAUCUGUAUACCAAAAUAUGAUAAUUAUGUAAUUCCAACUUUAGACAAAACAGCACCGGCUUCCAAAAUUCUAAAUAGUAAACAAGACUUAAGUGGUAAAAAAUUUACUGUUAAAGAUGCAUUUGGUCGCGAUGUAGUAAUGUCGGCGGAUUGGAUUGCUGGUUUUACAGAUGGGGAAGGAACAUUAACAAUAAAUAUAAACAAAAAUACAACAUUAACAUAUAAGUUUCAAAUACAACCAGUAUUUAUUAUUGUUCAGGGUGAAGCUGAUUAUUAUUUACUAACAGCUAUUGCGAACUUCUUUGGUUGUGGUUCAGUAACUGUAAAUAGAAAGGAUAAAACUUCAGUACGUUAUCAAUAUCGUGUAAACAAUUUAGAAUUACUAACUAAUAUUUUUAUUCCUUUCUUUGAUAAAGUUUCUUUAUUAACAAAGAAAAAAGAUGAGUAUUUCCUUUGGAAAGAUCUAGUUAUUGAACAUAGAAAUAAAACAAAUCUAGAUUCUUGGCCGAACAGUAUGGUUGCUUUCCUAGAAAAAGCAAAGCUUUGGAAAUGCUUAGGUACACAAACUAAACAAACUGAAUCUUAUAUAAAAACGUGUGAUAAAUAUAUUGAAAUUGUUAAAGGAAUUCCUUCUGAGAACAUAGAACGAUUAAAAUAACACUUAGAAAGUGAAGAUAGAGUCCAAACUCCAGCAUGAGCUGUGAGACCUAACUCGUAAGGAUUAGGGGUUUAUCUUAAUAAAGAUAAAUUAGAUUGAGCGAAAUUCAUUGUCGAGUAAGUUUCGACCUGCACGAAAGGUGUAAUGAUCUGGGCGCUGUCUCGGAGAGAGACUCGGUGAAAUAGACAUGUCCGUGAAGAUGCGGACUACCAAUACUAGGACAGAAAGACCCUAUGAAGCUUGACUGUAUCCUGGAAUUGAACUCGGGCUUUUCUUGCGCAGCCUAGGUGGGAGGCGUUGAAGGUCCCCUUCCGGGGGGGCUGGAGCCAUCAUUGAGAGACCACUCUGGAAGAGCUAGAGUUCUAAUGGUGAUCUUUGAAACAAGACACUUGACAGUUUCAGGUGGGCAGUUUUCCUGGGGCGGGAACCUCCCAAAGCGUAACGGAGGUGUGCAAAGGUUCUCUCAGUCUGGACGGAAAUCAGACAUUGAGUGUAAAGGCAAAAGAGAGCUUGACUGUAAGACCAACAAGUCGAGCAGGGGCGAAAGCCGGCCUUAGUGAUCCGACGGUGCCGUGUGGAAGGGCCGUCGCUCAACGGACAAAAGUUACUCUAGGGAUAACAGGCUGAUCUUCCCCAAGAGUUCAUAUCGACGGGAAGGUUUGGCACCUCAUCAUGGGGAGGUUUAUGUGAAAACAUUAAUCCUUUAUUUAGCUGUAUGCUGGAACAACCUUAUAUUUCUUACAUAAGGUCAAUCAGCAGGGAAGUAACUUUCAAGUUACCCUUCAACGACUACAUGCUAAACAUCUCUUCUUAAUAUUAUAUUCUAAAGAGAUGGUGAUAUAGUCUGAACUUCUAGGAAACUAGAAGAACAAAAAAUCAAAUUAUAUUCAAAUCAUUAAAAACUAAACAAACAAUUAAAAUAAAUAAAAUUUAUGAAAGAACAAAAAAUACAUGAAAUUUCUAAACAAAAAGAAGAUAAUCUUUUAAAGUUAUGUACAAAUUUAACACUUACACAAGCUGAAUUAUUAAUGGGUAGUUUACUUGGAGAUGGGAAUCUCCAAACCGCUAGCAAAACAGCUGGUACUUGGCGAGCACGAUUUCUCCAAGGUGAAAGACAAAAAGCUUAUUUGUUCUAUAAAUACGAAACUUUAAAAAAUUUCGUUGGUACAGAACCAAGACGUUCUUCAAAUUUUGAUAGAAGAACAAAUACAGUUUAUACACGUUACUCAUUUAAUACAAAGACUUUUUCUGAAGUUAAACCUUUAGCAGAAAUGUUUUACACUUGGAACGAAGAAACAAGACGUUUCGACAAAAAGUUACCAAAAAAUAUUGGAGAUUUUCUAACUCCAGGUGUAAUAGCUAUAUGGUUUAUGGACGAUGGAAGUGCUAAGUGGAUAGGUCAUAGUAACUCUAUACGCUUUAGUACAGACUGCUUCUCCCAAGAAGAAAUUGGUUAUCUACAAAAAGGUUUAAAAGAUUACGGUAUUGAUACAACUCUUCAACAGAAGAGAAGAAAUCAAUGGACUUUGGCUACAAGUGAAUCAAGUGCUAAUACACUAAAAGUCCUUCUUUCUGAGAAAAUUCAUCCUGACUUUUAUUCUAAAGUUCCUUGGAUGGUUUAGUUUGGUGCAUUUGUUUUGGUUUUUUCUAACACAAUUGCGAUGUCGGCUCAUCACAUCCUGGAGCGGUAGUACGUUCCAAGGGUUGGGCUGUUCGCCCAUUAAAGUGGUACGUGAGCUGGGUUCAGAACGUCGUGAAGUCUCGCGACUUUGUAAAGUAAUUUACAAAAAAGAAAAACAAUUGCCUCAUAUCGAUGAAGCUCUAAAGUUUAAUAUAUAGAAACUUUUGAUAAUAUCGAGGGAAGUCGAGACCUUUUCUCUUAAAAUAUAGAACGAAUGAUAAAAAUUUUAACAAAAACAUAAAAUAUGAACAAAACAAAUAUGAACAAAGCGAAUAAAAGCUUUCCCGCGAAACGCAAGAACGUUAAAAUCACGAGAGAAAUCCGUGAUAUUAUACAUGGUUAUGUUAUGUCUGAUGGUUAUUUACGUGAAGGUCAGUUAACUGUUGAGCAAAACAGUGAAUCGUCGGCAUUUGUUGAAUGGUUGUAUUCAAAAUUAGAACACCUAACUACACGUAAUGGCAUAAAAGAUGUUCAAAGGUUUGAUAAACGAACUAAUACCACAACUUAUUCCAAACGUUUUUUCACUAGAAGGUUACUUAAAGGUUUUAAUAAAAUGUGGUAUAAAGCCAGUGGUAUCCACAAAAAAACAGGUAAACCACAGGUAAACCUAAGUAUGUUAAGACCGUACCUAAAAGUCUUGGCUGUUUCUUUAGCAAAACCUUUAUAACUGUUUGGUAUGCUGGUGAUGGUACGAAAAUUAUUGGUAGUCGUGGUGCAAAAAUAGAAGCAACUUGUUUCAAUGAAGAACAAAAAUUAUUAAUAAAAGAACUAUUUAAGUCAAAAUACGACAUAAAUAUUCACAUUAAUAAAGCGGGUCUAAGCAAAACUGGUACGCAACAAUGGACUUUUAAUAUUAAUUCUGAAGAUUAUGAUAAAUUUCAUAAUAUUAUUACAGAAAUUGAUCUUAUCCCUAAGUUAUUUCCAAAUAAGCUUUGUUAUUAAUCAUUCUAUAUAUUUUAAAUAGAAUAAAUUCGGUCUUUGACCCCGUAACGACUUUGCGUUUAUUCGCAGGAUAGCUAUUACCUUUCUUCUACAAGAUCUUAAUAUAAGAAGUUUAAGAAGAAAAGUUAGCUAUAACACGGCAACUCUUUUAAAUAUUAUUUUAAAAGAUGAAAGUAUAGUCUAGUUCCUUAAGGAAACUUAAGGUAGGUCUAAGAAUAUAUUUGAUAAUUUAUUCUUGGACACAGAGACAGUUUGGUCCAUAUCCGGUAUUGGCGUAAGAGCAUUGAGAGGAGUCUUUCAUAGUACGAGAGGACCUGAAAGAAUGUGCCAAUUGUGUACCAGUUCUCAUUCCAAUGGGAAACGCUGGGUAGCUAUGCACAGAGACGAUAAAAGCUGACAGCAUCUAAGUUUGAAGCUCACCUCAAGAUGAGUGCUCUCUAAUUAGGUCGCGGGAAGAUCACCCGUUUUAUAGGCGUUAGGUCUACAGUCAGUAAUGGCUUGAGCUGAGACGUACUAAAGACCAAUUGAUUUUGAU
This 6098-nucleotide ribosomal RNA is filed under the name Dunaliella salina. RNAcentral's name for it is "large subunit ribosomal RNA". The stretch from base 1 to 3655 matches the Rfam family "Bacterial large subunit ribosomal RNA". The record is from RNAcentral. Lineage: Eukaryota; Viridiplantae; Chlorophyta; Chlorophyceae; Chlamydomonadales; Dunaliellaceae.